UUGGAGGGCAAGUCUGGUGCCAGCAGCCGCGGUAAUUCCAGCUCCAAUAGCGUAUAUUAAAGUUGUUGCAGUUAAAAAGCUCGUAGUUGAAUUUCGGGAUUAGUACGCUGGUCGUGCCUUCGGUACGUACUGGUGUUACUGAUUUCUACCUUCUGACGAACCAUCAUGUCAUUAAUUUGGUGUGGUGGGGAAUCAGGACUGUUACUUUGAAAAAAUUAGAGUGUUUAAAGCAGGCUCGCGCUUGAAUACAUUAGCAUGGAAUAAUGAAAUAGGACGUUGAUCCUAUUUUGUUGGUUUCUAGGAUUGACGUAAUGAUUAAUAGGGAUAGUUGGGGGCAUUAGUAUUCAAUUGUCAGAGGUGAAAUUUUUGGAUUUAUUGAAGACUAACUACUGCGAAAGCAUUUGCCAAGGAUGUUUUCAUUAAUCAAGAACGAAAGUUAGGGGAUCGAAGACGAUCAGAUACCGUCGUAGUCUUAACCAUAAACUAUGCCGACUAGGGAUCGGAUGAUGUUAUUUUUAAUGACUCAUUCGGCGCCUUACGGGAAAC
Molecule: ribosomal RNA, 546 nt
Filed under: uncultured Glomeromycotina
Lineage: Eukaryota; Fungi; Glomeromycota
Description: SSU rRNA
Rfam family: Eukaryotic small subunit ribosomal RNA
Source: RNAcentral